UACGAAGGGGGCUAGCGUUGCUCGGAAUCACUGGGCGUAAAGCGCACGUAGGCGGCUUCUUAAGUCAGGGGUGAAAUCCUGGGGCUCAACCCCAGAACUGCCCUUGAUACUGAGGAGCUUGAGUCCGGGAGAGGUGAGUGGAACUCCGAGUGUAGAGGUGAAAUUCGUAGAUAUUCGGAAGAACACCAGUGGCGAAGGCGGCCCCCUGGUUCGAUACUGACGCUGAGGUGCGAAAGCGUGGGGAGCAAACAGG
Molecule: ribosomal RNA, 253 nt
Filed under: uncultured bacterium
Lineage: Bacteria
Description: partial 16S ribosomal RNA
Rfam family: Bacterial small subunit ribosomal RNA
Source: RNAcentral